Molecule: non-coding RNA, 1095 nt
Organism: Salmo salar (Atlantic salmon)
Lineage: Eukaryota; Metazoa; Chordata; Actinopteri; Salmoniformes; Salmonidae
Source: RefSeq, a predicted model, not a curated record
UGAAAAUAUCUUAAAGAUGUGUGGGUUUUGGGUAAGAGAACUUCCAAAAACUACAGAAGGCAGAAACAUUUCUAAAUACAACUGUCGAUAUUAGUUGGCAGGGGUCUUCAACAUUGUGUUUUGAUGCAUUUCUGAUACCUUUUAAUACUUAAGCCGAAAUCGCACGGAAAAGACGCCAUCAACGGAGUCAAAAUUUGCGCAUGAGAGUAGAGCAUCAAUUCAGAUAGUUAAGUUAGCAUACACUACGCAGUCUGUCACUCGAAUCUAUAAUAAACAGUUGUAUUUGUUAUGUUCGCUAUGUUGCCCUUGUGAAUUAUUGUUGCGUGUUCCUUUUGUCUCACCUUAUAUGUCCUACAGGAGCCACCGUACCUGCCUCCUGUUACGUUGCCUCAAGAAUGUGAGGAGAGUUGUAGCUAAAACACCCUAUCAGUUUAUAAAGAAUUUAGCUAGUCUCAUUCCUUCUACAUACACAGUAUUCAAUCUUGAACGGAGUUCUUUGCGUUUCCCAGCUAUAGCCAGUCUAGGCUAUAUGCCUGUGCUCGAAAUCAACCAAGGAGAGGACACCAAGAGGCUGUAUCCAAGAGGCAGAAGUGAUAAUGGUCCAACGUGUUCACUAGAGGUGGGGGGGCUUUGGACACUGAGCCUUGCUUUUCAACUAGCCAGCGAGCUCUCCCAACAAAUCGUGACACUUGUGAAAUGGAAAACCAUCAAACACGGGGAGCUCCAAGAUCUUCUUGCUAGACAAAACAUGACUUAUUCGGAAUGUGUCAGAGACAUGUAUCGGUGUCAAAACCUUCCAAUUGGAGAUAUGGUUAAGAACUACUUCAAAACAGCUUGAAGACUUUCUUUCACAUGAGCAUGUCAGCUCGUGGUAAUGAGAGGUCGUGAGAGCUGAAAAAUGGGAGCAUCCUGAGGGAUUUUUACAAGAAAAUCUAAAAUUCAACAAAAGAAACAUGUGAGAGCACCAUAAAAUAUUAAAUUUUGUUGAAGAUAUGAAUUAUGCCACUGUAAGUUGUAUAUGUUUGUUAUUUCUCCGGGUUGCAAAUAAUUGACAUGUAAGCUAUAAUAUGUCAAUAAAGAGACAAACACACCUUA